Molecule: ribosomal RNA, 520 nt
Filed under: uncultured bacterium
Lineage: Bacteria
Description: bacterial SSU rRNA
Rfam family: Bacterial small subunit ribosomal RNA
Source: RNAcentral
CCUGGCUCAGAACGAGCGCUGGCGGCGUGCUUAACACAUGCAAGUCGAACGCGAAAGGGACUUCGGUCCUGAGUAAAGUGGCGCACGGGUGAGUAACGCGUAGAUAACCUGUCUUAUGUCUGGAAUAAUACGCCGAAAGGGGUACUAAUACCGGAUAUUUUUGCAUUGCAUAAGCAGUGUAAGCAAAGGUGGCCUCUGACAUAAGCUACUGCAUAAAGAGGGGUCUGCGUACCAUUAGCUAGUAGGUGGGGUAAAGGCCUACCUAGGCUACGAUGGUUAGCGGGUCUGAGAGGAUGAUCCGCCACACUGGCACUGGAACACGGGCCAGACUCCUACGGGAGGCAGCAGUGAGGAAUAUUGCGCAAUGGGGGCAACCCUGACGCAGCGACGCCGCGUGAGUGAGGAAGGCCUUCGGGUCGUAAAGCUCUGUCAAAGGGAAAGAAGUGCAUGGUGGUUAAUACCUGCCAUGUUUGACGGUACCCUUAAAGGAAGCACCGGCUAACUCCGUGCCAGCCGCAGC